AUAUAUAAAAGUAUUUAUGUCCAAAGUUGAUUGGACCUAGGGCAUAAUACUUACAGUGUGUUUCUAAAUACCAAAGAUUAGUAAGUGCCUAAGAUUUAGGUGAAAAUUUAUGGAACUUUCAAAAUAAUUCCAGUAAUAUUUGACACACUAACAUUACCUUAAAAAUAACAUGGCUCAUGCAUUGCACGGGACAUAAGACUAGUUCUACUAAAAAGAUCAUGGUCAGCAUUCAAAGAAAGGAGAGAAAAACAUGUAAAGAGGUGAGUUUUGCUGCUGGAAUUUUUUUUUUGUUGGUUUUGGCAGUAGGCGUGGAGACCGAGGAGGAUCACCUCGUUUACCACCACAACUUUCUGCCUUGGUCUUUCAAACACAAAAACUCACAAGUCAAAUGAAAUAGAGAUCAAGCCCCUGAAUAUCUCACACACCCAAACAUGAAAUAUUGACCACUCCAAAAAGUAUUAUAUAUACCUAUUUACCAAAAAGGAGAUCACCAGUGGGAAACCUUCAAAAUGGAACUACCACAAAAAUGAAUGAUUAUUUAUAUUACAUCUCCUGCUACAUUACUUUACAGUGGCCAUCACUUCACCGGCACUAUACAGCCCUUAGUGCUUUGAUACUGGUCAUUUCUGAUGAACCUCUUCAUGGUGGAAUUCAAAGUAACCGCCGACGCUAGUGGGAUGAUAGUGUACAAUUUUUGCUUUUAUCCAUGUGUCCACAUUAAAUUUCGAUGGAGACAAGACAACGAUGGCUGCUUGUUUGGAUAGAGAUGAAUUUUUCAAUCAGAUUUUGGAAGCUAUUUUACUUGGCAGAAGAAGAAACCAACAUUUACAGCUUACUCAUGGUACUUUUGUUGGCUUCUUGUUAAUUGAUCUCAUCCACUUAAACAGGUUGUAGAAGGUAUUGGUUUAUCAUUGGGCCUCUUGUACAGUGGUCUUCAUUUGGCAGAAUCCUUCUGCUUCUAUUUAUCUAACUUGGGACAUCUCUUUCAAUUAUAAAAAUAGUGACUUAUGGGUCAUAGAUUCUCAUUAUCCUAUAAUUUUCCAGCUUGUGUACUUCAAUUUAUGGACAAUUGUUCCUUUUAAUU
Molecule: long non-coding RNA, 1084 nt
Organism: Olea europaea var. sylvestris
Lineage: Eukaryota; Viridiplantae; Streptophyta; Magnoliopsida; Lamiales; Oleaceae
Exons: 2
Source: RefSeq, a predicted model, not a curated record